This 61-nucleotide transfer RNA is filed under the name Hydatigera taeniaeformis. RNAcentral describes it as "tRNA-Cys". RNAcentral also lists the same sequence under 1 other name. Lineage: Eukaryota; Metazoa; Platyhelminthes; Cestoda; Cyclophyllidea; Taeniidae. The record is from RNAcentral.
GAGUAUGAAAUGAAAAUCAGUUUUGCAAAAACUGAUUAGAAUUGAGUUAAUUCCAUACUUU